UACGAGGGGGGCGAGCGUUGUUCGGAAUUAUUGGGCGUAAAGGGUGCGUAGGCGGUUCCGCAAGUCCUGUGUGAAAUCUUCGGGCUCAACUCGAAGUCUGCACGGGAAACUGCGGGGCUUGAGUGUGGGAGAGGUGAGUGGAAUUCCCGGUGUAGCGGUGAAAUGCGUAGAUACCGGGAGGAACACCUGUGGCGAAAGCGGCUCACUGGACCAUAACUGACGCUGAUGCACGAAAGCUGGGGGAGCAAACAGG
This 253-nucleotide ribosomal RNA is filed under the name uncultured bacterium. RNAcentral describes it as "partial 16S ribosomal RNA". It matches the Rfam family "Bacterial small subunit ribosomal RNA", at positions 524 to 776 of the family's 1533-position model. The record is from RNAcentral.